CAGCAGCCGCGGUAAUACGUAGGGUGCAAGCGUUAAUCGGAAUUACUGGGCGUAAAACGUGCGCAGGCGGUUUGUUAAGACAGAUGUGAAAUCCCCGGGCUCAACCUGGGAACUGCAUUUGUGACUGGCAAGCUAGAGUGUGGCAGAGGGGGGUGGAAUUCCGCGUGUAGCAGUGAAAUGCGUAGAUAUGCGGAGGAACACCGAUGGCGAAGGCAGCCCCCUGGGCCAACACUGACGCUCAUGCACGAAAGCGUGGGGAGCAAACAGGAUUAGAUACCCCGGUAGUCCCUGUCUCUUAUAA
This 301-nucleotide ribosomal RNA is filed under the name uncultured bacterium. Its description in RNAcentral is "partial 16S ribosomal RNA". It matches the Rfam family "Bacterial small subunit ribosomal RNA", at positions 509 to 809 of the family's 1533-position model. The record is from RNAcentral.